This 207-nucleotide ribosomal RNA is filed under the name uncultured delta proteobacterium. Its description in RNAcentral is "partial 16S ribosomal RNA". It matches the Rfam family "Bacterial small subunit ribosomal RNA", at positions 568 to 774 of the family's 1533-position model. Lineage: Bacteria; Deltaproteobacteria. The record is from RNAcentral.
CGCGUAGGCGGUUUGAUAAGUCAGAUGUGAAAGCCCACGGCUUAACCGUGGAAGUGCAUUUGAUACUGUCAGACUUGAGUACCAGAGGGGAAAGUGGAAUUCCCGGUGUAGAGGUGAAAUUCGUAGAUAUCGGGAGGAAUACCGGUGGCGAAGGCGACUUUCUGGCUGGAUACUGACGCUGAGGCGCGAAAGCGUGGGGAGCAAACA